AUUGAACGCUGGCGGCAGGCCUAACACAUGCAAGUCGAGCGGAUGAAGGGAGCUUGCUCCUGGAUUCAGCGGCGGACGGGUGAGUAAUGCCUAGGAAUCUGCCUGGUAGUGGGGGAUAACGUCCGGAAACGGGCGCUAAUACCGCAUACGUCCUGAGGGAGAAAGUGGGGGAUCUUCGGACCUCACGCUAUCAGAUGAGCCUAGGUCGGAUUAGCUAGUUGGUGGGGUAAAGGCCUACCAAGGCGACGAUCCGUAACUGGUCUGAGAGGAUGAUCAGUCACACUGGAACUGAGACACGGUCCAGACUCCUACGGGAGGCAGCAGUGGGGAAUAUUGGACAAUGGGCGAAAGCCUGAUCCAGCCAUGCCGCGUGUGUGAAGAAGGUCUUCGGAUUGUAAAGCACUUUAAGUUGGUAGGAAGGGCAGUAAGUUAAUACCUUGCUGUUUUGACGUUACCAACAGAAUAAGCACCGGCUAACUUCGUG
This 484-nucleotide ribosomal RNA is filed under the name uncultured bacterium. RNAcentral's name for it is "partial 16S ribosomal RNA". It matches the Rfam family "Bacterial small subunit ribosomal RNA", at positions 30 to 507 of the family's 1533-position model. The record is from RNAcentral.